UAAUACGUAGGAUGCGAGCGUUGUCCGGAAUUAUUGGGCGUAAAGGGCGUCUAGGUGGAUUAAUAAGUCCUGUGUGAAAUCUCUUGGCUCAACCAAGAAAGGUCACAGGAAACUAUUAGUCUAGAGGUCAUGAGAGGUAAGUGGAAUUCACAGAGUAGUGGUGAAAUGCGUAGAUACUGUGAGGAACACCAGAGGCGAAAGCGACCUACUAGCAUGAAUCUGACACUAAAGCGCGAAAGUGUGGGUAGCAAACCGGAUUAGAUACCCGGGUAGUCCACACCAUAAACGAUGGAUACUAGUUAUGAGAGGCAUAGACCCCUUUGUAACGAAGCUAACGCAUUAAGUAUCCCGCCUGGGGAGUACGGCCGCAAGGUUA
This 376-nucleotide ribosomal RNA is filed under the name uncultured Chloroflexota bacterium. RNAcentral describes it as "bacterial SSU rRNA". It matches the Rfam family "Bacterial small subunit ribosomal RNA", at positions 521 to 896 of the family's 1533-position model. The record is from RNAcentral. Lineage: Bacteria; Bacillati; Chloroflexota.